RNAcentral lists this ribosomal RNA (674 nucleotides) under Stenotrophomonas maltophilia. RNAcentral describes it as "bacterial SSU rRNA". It matches the Rfam family "Bacterial small subunit ribosomal RNA", at positions 33 to 698 of the family's 1533-position model. Lineage: Bacteria; Pseudomonadati; Pseudomonadota; Gammaproteobacteria; Lysobacterales; Lysobacteraceae. The record is from RNAcentral.
UCGCCAUGGCGGUAGCUACAAUGCAAGUCGAACGGCAGCACAGGAGAGCUUGCUCUCUGGGUGGCGAGUGGCGGACGGGUGAGGAAUACAUCGGAAUCUACUUUUUCGUGGGGGAUAACGUAGGGAAACUUACGCUAAUACCGCAUACGACCUACGGGUGAAAGCAGGGGAUCUUCGGACCUUGCGCGAUUGAAUGAGCCGAUGUCGGAUUAGCUAGUUGGCGGGGUAAAGGCCCACCAAGGCGACGAUCCGUAGCUGGUCUGAGAGGAUGAUCAGCCACACUGGAACUGAGACACGGUCCAGACUCCUACGGGAGGCAGCAGUGGGGAAUAUUGGACAAUGGGCGCAAGCCUGAUCCAGCCAUACCGCGUGGGUGAAGAAGGCCUUCGGGUUGUAAAGCCCUUUUGUUGGGAAAGAAAUCCAGCUGGUUAAUACCCGGUUGGGAUGACGGUACCCAAAGAAUAAGCACCGGCUAACUUCGUGCCAUCAGCCGCGGUAAUACGAAGGGUGCAAGCGUUACUCGGAAUUACUGGGCGUAAAGCGUGCGUAGGUGGUCGUUUAAGUCCGUUGUGAAAGCCCUGGGCUCAACCUGGGAACUGCAGUGGAUACUGGGCGACUAGAGUGUGGUAGAGGGUAGCGGAAUUCCUGGUGUAGCAGUGAAAUGCGUAGAGAUC